GUUAAUAGUGGUAAAACGUCCAUCGUUUUCAGUUCUAAGCAUCGCGUUUUGGCAGUGAGGAACGAGAAUUCCAAGGACGAAGCAUUCUAUUGGCCGAAAGCGAGCAAACAGGGAGCAUCUGUAGUUCAAGUGUCGCCCUCGCAAAGAGAAUCUGUUUCUAUAAACAAAGCCACGGUUGUGUGGGGGCGCUGAAAGUCAUAUAUUAUCGCAUUUUUUUUCUUAUUUCAGAAUGGUAUUGAUGCUUUCAACAGGUAAUAAAUCUGCAUUCAUCAGGACUUAAAUUAGAGUGUCAAGAUGACGCCAGUUUGUUUUCUUGCCGAAUCCUGCUGGUUAAAUUGCACAACUGGGUGUCUAAUUUCCUCUGAUAAAUAAAUUCGUUAGAAGCUGUGUCAUUCA
This is a long non-coding RNA of Anguilla anguilla (European eel), 396 nucleotides long. RefSeq lists it as uncharacterized. The transcript is spliced from 2 exons. Lineage: Eukaryota; Metazoa; Chordata; Actinopteri; Anguilliformes; Anguillidae. The record is from RefSeq and is a predicted model, not a curated record.